Molecule: ribosomal RNA, 460 nt
Filed under: uncultured bacterium
Lineage: Bacteria
Description: partial 16S ribosomal RNA
Rfam family: Bacterial small subunit ribosomal RNA
Source: RNAcentral
CCUACGGGUGGCAGCAGUGAGGAAUAUUGGUCAAUGGACGCAAGUCUGAACCAGCCAUGCCGCGUGCAGGAAGACGGCUCUAUGAGUUGUAAACUGCUUUUGUAAGAGGGUAAACGCAGAUACGCGUAUCUGGCUGAAAGUAUCGUACGAAUAAGGAUCGGCUAACUCCGUGCCAGCAGCCGCGGUAAUACGGAGGAUUCAAGCGUUAUCCGGAUUUAUUGGGUUUAAAGGGUGCGUAGGCGGUCGGGUAAGUUAGCGGUGAAAUCCCGAGGCUCAACUUCGGAAUUGCCUCUGAUACUGUCAGGCUAGAGAGUAGUUGAGGUAGGCGGAAUGUACGGUGUAGCGGUGAAAUGCUUAGAGAUCAUACAGAACACCGAUUGCGAAGGCAGCUUACCAAGCUAAUUCUGACGUUGAGGCACGAAAGCGUGGGGAUCAAACAGGAUUAGAUACCCUUGUAGUC